This is a long non-coding RNA of Carya illinoinensis, 706 nucleotides long. RefSeq lists it as uncharacterized. NCBI's taxonomy places the organism in Eukaryota, Viridiplantae, Streptophyta, Magnoliopsida, Fagales, Juglandaceae. The record is from RefSeq and is a predicted model, not a curated record. The transcript is spliced from 2 exons.
AAUCUUUUAUUUCUUCCUCAGCUCCCACUCAUUUCUCACAAACCUCUCUCUCUCUCUCUCUCUCUCUCUCUCUCUCUCUCUCUGAAGCUCACGAACCCAGCUCUCUGCCAAAGCCUCAAGAUCCACUCCACCUCACCAAAAAGUUCAAACUUUUUACUACCCAGAAGAUUACUCACCUACAAAAGCCAUGACGAUCGAUCAGGAUCUGCGAUAUCCGGUAUUGAUUUCUCACGUUUUCUCGGUCACCGCUUUUUUCAUGUAGUCAUGAGGAUCAAUCCGAUUGUGGGUUUGAUGCAGAGCUCAAUCUCAUUGAUUGCUUGGACGUGGGCUUGAAGAUCAUGGUCGACGUUGAUAAUUCUGAUCAUGGCCGAAAAAGCAUUUCUUCGCCAGCAAAGAACAAAGGUACUACUCAUGUAAAGGACCAGACUGCAGUGAAAAAAAUAAAGAGGAGGCAGCUCAUGAGACUUUUGUUAAGACUUAAUCAUUUCCCACCGUGUCGGCUCCUUUGAGUCUCGGACCACAGGCCAUCGUGGAGCGUUAGGCAGCUGUGGGCUCGACUGCUCUGCAUCGCGUGGGGCUGCGAAGGUUCAAGAAAUCAUAGUCAUAUCCAUAAUCAUAUAUUUGUGACCUUGGUGCCUUUUGAUAAAGUGGGCUUCUUUUUUCCGAAAAAUAAUUGCAAGGGCAUGUGAUGCUUCUCUUGUCUUUA